UUUGCCCUGUCCUACCUUCUUCUCAAGAAAGCUCAGCUUCUAUGUCUCCUGAGAGCUGUCUUUAUCCCUACAAUGUAGGAAUUACUUCACUUGAAUCAACUUUCCUUUUGGUUGGAUUCAUAAUUGAUAGUUGGGACAGACUACGAGAGAGUGCCAAUACAAGAGUGCGCAGGGUCUGGCUAUACGAGAGUGCGUAGCCUAUUGAACUGCCAAUACGAGACAAGAGGAUUCAGAAGCAAAGAUAAUCGAAAUAUAAAGCAAGGUCUGGAUUGAGAGUGCACAGGCAAUGCUUCACAUCCUGCUCGCCAUUUACUCAUGUUUCUGAAAAUAAAUCAUGUGACUGGUUAAAAAUUAAUACUAGCUAUUAGAAGGUAUCUAUAAUCAUAAUAUACUUUUAUUUAUGUAAUUG
RNAcentral lists this long non-coding RNA (409 nucleotides) under Gossypium barbadense (sea-island cotton). RNAcentral describes it as "long non-coding RNA (GBAR_LNC003356)". Lineage: Eukaryota; Viridiplantae; Streptophyta; Magnoliopsida; Malvales; Malvaceae. The record is from RNAcentral.